RNAcentral lists this ribosomal RNA (506 nucleotides) under uncultured bacterium. RNAcentral's name for it is "partial 16S ribosomal RNA". It matches the Rfam family "Bacterial small subunit ribosomal RNA", at positions 29 to 523 of the family's 1533-position model. The record is from RNAcentral.
AGUGAACGCUGGCGGUAGGCCUAACACAUGCAAGUCGAACGGCAGCACAGAGGAGCUUGCUCCUUGGGUGGCGAGUGGCGGACGGGUGAGGAAUACAUCGGAAUCUACUCUGUCGUGGGGGAUAACGUAGGGAAACUUACGCUAAUACCGCAUACGACCUACGGGUGAAAGCAGGGGAUCUUCGGACCCUGCUCGAUUGAAGGAGCCGAUGUCGGAUUAGCUAGUUGGCGGGGUAAAGGCCCACCAAGGCGACGAUCCGUAGCUGGUCUGAGAGGAUGAUCAGCCACACUGGAACUGAGACACGGUCCAGACUCCUACGGGAGGCAGCAGUGGGGAAUAUUGGACAAUGGGCGCAAGCCUGAUCCAGCCAUACCGCGUGGGUGAAGAAGGCCUUCGGGUUGUAAAGCCCUUUUGUUGGGAAAGAAAUCCAUCUGGUUAAUACCCGGGUGGGAUGACGGUACCCAAAGAAUAAGCACCGGCUAACUUCGUGCCAGCCGCCGCGGUAA